RNAcentral lists this ribosomal RNA (253 nucleotides) under uncultured bacterium. Its description in RNAcentral is "partial 16S ribosomal RNA". It matches the Rfam family "Bacterial small subunit ribosomal RNA", at positions 524 to 776 of the family's 1533-position model. The record is from RNAcentral.
UACGUAGGGGGCUAGCGUUGUCCGGAAUCCUUGGGCGUAAAGCGCGUGUAGGCGGUCCGGUAAGUCCGCUGUGAAAGUCGGGGGCUCAACCCUCGGAUGCCGGUGGAUACUGUCGGGCUUGAGUACGGAAGAGGCGAGUGGAAUUCCUGGUGUAGCGGUGAAAUGCGCAGAUAUCAGGAGGAACACCAAUUGCGAAGGCAGCUCGCUGGGACGUUACUGACGCUGAGACGCGAAAGCGUGGGGAGCAAACGGG